GCCGAAAUAGCUCAGGGGUAGAGCGACGCUCUCGUAAAGCGUAGGUCGUGAGUUCAAUUCUCACUUUCGGCU
RNAcentral lists this transfer RNA (72 nucleotides) under Spirochaetales bacterium. RNAcentral's name for it is "tRNA-Thr". It matches the Rfam family "tRNA". Rfam says of the family: Transfer RNA (tRNA) molecules are approximately 80 nucleotides in length. Their secondary structure includes four short double-helical elements and three loops (D, anti-codon, and T loops). Lineage: Bacteria; Pseudomonadati; Spirochaetota; Spirochaetia; Spirochaetales. The record is from RNAcentral.